This 253-nucleotide ribosomal RNA is filed under the name uncultured bacterium. Its description in RNAcentral is "partial 16S ribosomal RNA". It matches the Rfam family "Bacterial small subunit ribosomal RNA", at positions 524 to 776 of the family's 1533-position model. The record is from RNAcentral.
UACGUAGGGGGCAAGCGUUGUCCGGAUUUAUUGGGCGUAAAGAGCGUGUAGGCGGCCGUACAGGUCAGCUGUGAAAACUCGAGGCUCAACCUCGAGACGUCGGUUGAAACCGUACGGCUAGAGUCCGGAAGAGGAGAGUGGAAUUCCCGGUGUAGCGGUGAAAUGCGCAGAUAUCGGGAAGAACACCCGUGGCGAAAGCGGCGCACUGGACCAUAACUGACGCUGAGGCGCGAAAGCUAGGGGAGCAAACAGG